GACGAACGCUGGCGGCGUGCUUAACACAUGCAAGUCGAGCGGAAAGGCCUCCUUUGGGGGGUACUCGAGCGGCGAACGGGUGAGUAACACGUGAGUGAUCUGCCCCUCACUCUGGGAUAACUGCCUGAAAGGGUGGCUAAUACUGGAUAUUCCUGUGGUGCUGCAUGGUGCUGUGGGGAAAGCUUUUGUGGUGGGGGAUGUGCUCGCGGCCUAUCAGCUUGUUGGUGGGGUAAUGGCCUACCAAGGCUUUGACGGGUAGCCGGCCUGAGAGGGUGACCGGCCACACUGGGACUGAGACACGGCCCAGACUCCUACGGGAGGCAGCAGUGGGGAAUAUUGGACAAUGGGCGGAAGCCUGAUCCAGCAACGCCGCGUGAGGGAUGACGGCCUUCGGGUUGUAAACCUCUUUCAGCACAGACGAAGCUGUCCUCACGUGUGGGGGUGGUGACGGUAUGUGCAGAAGAAGCACCGGCCAACUACGUGCCAGCAGCCGCCGUAAAAC
This 502-nucleotide ribosomal RNA is filed under the name uncultured bacterium. Its description in RNAcentral is "bacterial SSU rRNA". It matches the Rfam family "Bacterial small subunit ribosomal RNA", at positions 28 to 526 of the family's 1533-position model. The record is from RNAcentral.